Long non-coding RNA from Oncorhynchus tshawytscha (Chinook salmon), 752 nucleotides. NCBI's taxonomy places the organism in Eukaryota, Metazoa, Chordata, Actinopteri, Salmoniformes, Salmonidae. The record is from Ensembl.
UUUAUUUUUUUUUUAAAUCGUGUGUGUGUGUGUGUGUGUGUGUGUGUGUGUGUUAAUCCCCGGGUUGACGGCUGCUUUUUGGUCUCUAAGCUGUUCUCAUCUCUACUAUCUCUGCUACAGUGAAGCUCACAGCCAACGAGAGAGAGGCAGAGAGUGUUUUCCCCUCUUCUCUUUCCCUCUCUGUCCUUUCCUCUAAUCCCCCCUCCCCAGUCUCUCUCCCUCCUCUCUAUUUUUCUCUCGGUGACAGGUCUCUCCCUCCUCUCUAUUUUUCUCUAGGUGACAGGUCUCUCCCUCCUCUCUAUUUUUCUCUAGGUGCCAGGUCUCUCUCUCCUUUUCUCUCGGUGCCAGGUCUCUCCCUCCUCUCUUUUUCUCUAGGUGCCAGGUCUCUCCCUCCUCUCUCUUUUCUCUCGGUGACAGGUCUCUCCCUCCUCUCUCUUUUUAUCUUGGUGACAGGUCUCUCUCUCCUCUCUUGCACUAUAUAGAGAAUAGGGCUCUGGUCUAAAGUAGUGCACUAUAUAGAGAAUAGGGCUCUGGUCUAAAGUAGUGCACUAUAUAGAGAAUAGGGCUCUGGUCUAAAGUAGUGCACUAUAUAGAGAAUAGGGCUCUGGUCUAAAGUAGUGCACUAUAUAGAGAAUAGGGCUCUGGUCUAAAGUAGUGCCACUAUAUAGAGAAUAGGGCUCUGGUCUAAAGUAGUGCACUAUAUAGAGAAUAGGGCUCUGGUCUAAAGUAGUGCACUAUAUAGAGAAUAGGGC